AUGAACGCUGGCGGCGUGCCUAAUCCAUGCAAGUCGCGCGAACAGACGAGGAGCUUGCUCCUCUGACGUUAGCGGCGGACGGGUGAGUAACACGUGGAUAACCUACCUAUAAGACUGGGAUAACUUCGGGAAACCGGAGCUAAUACCGGAUAACAUGUUGAACCGCAUGGUUCAACAGUGAAAGACGGUCUUGCUGUCACUUAUAGAUGGAUCCGCGCCGCAUUAGCUAGUUGGUAAGGUAACGGCUUACCAAGGCAACGAUGCGUAGCCGACCUGAGAGGGUGAUCGGCCACACUGGAACUGAGACACGGUCCAGACUCCUACGGGAGGCAGCAGUAGGGAAUCUUCCGCAAUGGGCGAAAGCCUGACGGAGCAACGCCGCGUGAGUGAAGAAGGUCUUCGGAUCGUAAAACUCUGUUAUUAGGGAAGAACAAAUGUGUAAGUAACUAUGCACGUCUUGACGGUACCUAAUCAGAAAGCCACGGCUAACUACGUG
RNAcentral lists this ribosomal RNA (496 nucleotides) under uncultured bacterium. RNAcentral describes it as "partial 16S ribosomal RNA". It matches the Rfam family "Bacterial small subunit ribosomal RNA", at positions 29 to 507 of the family's 1533-position model. The record is from RNAcentral.